RNAcentral lists this transfer RNA (74 nucleotides) under Armatimonadota bacterium. RNAcentral describes it as "Armatimonadetes bacterium (soil metagenome) tRNA-Gln". It matches the Rfam family "tRNA". From Rfam's summary of the family: Transfer RNA (tRNA) molecules are approximately 80 nucleotides in length. Their secondary structure includes four short double-helical elements and three loops (D, anti-codon, and T loops). The record is from RNAcentral. Lineage: Bacteria; Bacillati; Armatimonadota.
UGCCCCCUAGUUUAAAGGCAGAACACCUGGUUCUGGCCCAGGCAGUUGGGGUUCGAAUCCCUGGGGGGCAGCCA